AGGCCCGCCUGGGUAAUCGUGAGCCGCGAGCCCAGUAUCGAGCCUUGCAGCGUGGACAGUAACGGACACGUCGAUGCGUAGGCCAGAGCAGCAGGCGAGGGGCAAAGGUAACGGGUGAAGCCGACCCUGAAGGUGUUGAGCCCCGAAAAUUUCGGUUGGUGAGUGCCGACGGUUUUGUCCCGCCGGUAGGCAACAAUGCGUGUCGCGCUCUGGCGAGCGGCACGGAUACUCCCCGGGGUCCGAGGC
RNAcentral lists this non-coding RNA (246 nucleotides) under uncultured Thiohalocapsa sp. Lineage: Bacteria; Pseudomonadati; Pseudomonadota; Gammaproteobacteria; Chromatiales; Chromatiaceae. The record is from RNAcentral.